RNAcentral lists this long non-coding RNA (1630 nucleotides) under Homo sapiens (human). RNAcentral's name for it is "HSALNT0310423". The record is from RNAcentral. Lineage: Eukaryota; Metazoa; Chordata; Mammalia; Primates; Hominidae.
CCAGAGAGCAAGACAACAGAGCAGCAGGGUCACACCCUGGCUUGCAGGGCCAGCUUCUGGCAACUGCCACAGGCCUGCCACACUCAGCCAUGAAGAAAGAAGGGAUUUCUUUUCCCACACAGAAACACCCCAAGCAGGAACAGAAACAGAUCUUUUGUGCCCACCAAUAUGUGUCUGUCUUGCCCAGCCUGUCAUUGUCCAGGGCUGUGGGUAGUGGAGGAGCCACUGGUUCUUGACUAGUUCUGCAGAAGCCCUGGGUCAAAGGCCUCCGCUGACAGCAUCCAGAAGUGUGUGCUUCUCCAUCCUGGCCACACUCUCAAAUCACUGGCGGAAAGGGCAUGGGAGAACACAGUGAGAAGACAGCAGUCUGAGAGCCCGGAAGAGCGCCCUCACCAGAAACCAAAUGUGUCAGCACCUUGCUCAGGGACUUCCAGCCUCCGGAACUGUGAGGAAACAAAAUGUCUGUUUUGGAGCCGCCCAGGCUGUGGGGUUUUGGUAAGGCAGCCUGAGCAGACUAAUGCAACAGCCUCAACAAAACUGCAAUCGAUGAGAAAAAAACAGUGGGCUUGAAGAAAAAAAUGAAUUCCAGUCAAAAUCUCAACAGUUUCAUUUGGGAGCUUCACUCCUCAGCCAGUGAGACCAGGAACCUACCAGAAGAAAGAAACUCCAAACGCAUCUGAAGGUCGGAAGGAGCAAACUCUGGACACGCUGCUUUUAAGAACUGUAACACCAUGAGGGUCUGCGGCUUCAUUCUUGAAACCAGUGAGAUCAAGAACCCACCAAUUACAAACACAACACCUCAACAACACCUCAUGAGCAGGCUCUAAAAGGUCCAGCAGAAAGAAACGCAUUGAACUGCGUGCAAUGCAUCGUUCCCUAGAGGUGUGUGACCGAUGACACUUUCCACGUGGGGCACCAAGCAACACUGACAGUACCGUUUGGGAAGCACUUCAGAGAUGUAAACUAGGUGACUGAGAAAUAUGUAUGGAGGGACGGUGGAAGAACAGUUGGCCACAUACUCAAUUAUACGUGAUUUGAGGUAGUGAGCUUAUGGGGACUUUUUUUUCCUGUUUUUCAUCAAUCUAUUCUCACUACAUUUACUACAUGUUAAAAGACACUCGACAUAAGUUAAAACACAAUGUCUAAAAGCCUCUGACCACUGCCCCAAUUUUUACUUAACAAGGCAUGCCAGCGGGCCCCAGAGCCUUGCCAGCACGGUCCCCACCUCAUGUUCUGGGCCCUGAUCUCAUGUUGCCGCCACAUGGUGUCAUGCGUUGUAGCACAUUUCCUGCUGUGCUCCCAAAGCAUUCACUUAGGAAAUCCACUUUGUGCUCCAUGUUGAGAUUACAGUAUGUACAAAGACAGACACUGUCUUGACUUUUUGACCUUUACUGUCAAAGGACAUGCAUGAACAGUAACAAAACAAUCAAGGCUGGUACGGCUGGAAUGUGAGGGGAAUGUGACUGUUGAGGGGCAGGCAGGGGCCAUGUGAAGGAUGGGAUUUCUUUCCUCCUAAGGGCAACAGGAAAUCACCGAUAGGGCUUUAAGCAGGAGCACCUUAAAAAAAUGACUCCAUGUCUAGGCAGCUGGGUGUAGUGGCUCACGGCUGUAAAGUCAGCACUCUGGGAGG